CGUGUAGGCGGUUGGGCAAGUCAGAUGUGAAAGCCUUCCGCUCAACGGAAGAAGGGCAUUUGAAACUACCCGGCUGGAGUACGGGAGAGGAGAGUGGAAUUCCCGGUGUAGAGGUGAAAUUCGUAGAUAUCGGGAGGAACACCUGUGGCGAAGGCGGCUUCCUGGACCGCAACUGACGCUGAGGCGCGAAAGCUAGGGGAGCAAACAGGAUUAGAUACCCUGGUAGUCCUAGCCCUAAACGAUGAGCACUGGGUGUAGCCCUUCACGGGGCUGUGCCGAAGCUAACGCAUUAAGUGCUCCGCCUGGGGAGUACGGUCGCAAGGCUAGAA
RNAcentral lists this ribosomal RNA (329 nucleotides) under uncultured bacterium. RNAcentral describes it as "bacterial SSU rRNA". It matches the Rfam family "Bacterial small subunit ribosomal RNA", at positions 568 to 899 of the family's 1533-position model. The record is from RNAcentral.